AAUCUCAAUCCCCUAUGGUUUUCUGAACCGUCGGUGGACUUGGAAAUGGGCGUCUGCCUCACAAGGCUCGCCUCAAAUGACUUAGUGGGAACUUCUUGACCUACGCCUGACGUGAUAAGUUUCGUCUCGGCCGGUCCUGAGGCCCGCUCACAACCAACCACAUCUUUUUGA
This 171-nucleotide unclassified non-coding RNA is filed under the name uncultured Kockovaella. RNAcentral's name for it is "sequence contains ITS2". Lineage: Eukaryota; Fungi; Basidiomycota; Tremellomycetes; Tremellales; Cuniculitremaceae. The record is from RNAcentral.